Molecule: long non-coding RNA, 756 nt
Organism: Spinacia oleracea (spinach)
Lineage: Eukaryota; Viridiplantae; Streptophyta; Magnoliopsida; Caryophyllales; Amaranthaceae
Exons: 2
Source: RefSeq, a predicted model, not a curated record
UUUAUAAACGAUGCAAAAUGAUCCUUGGAUAUUAUGGGAGCCAGCUCCGCAAGGCCAACUUAAGUCGAACAUAGGAAGGGUCGAUUCAUUUGAUGCCAAAAUCCAAGGCGUAAUAUACCAACACCCACGACCUGACGACCUGUACGGUUUGACCACUCCUUCCCCCAAAAAAUAAAAAUAAGAAAAAUAAAACAAUCGAAGAACCACCUCCAUUACUCUCAACUUCUCUCCACUUCUCUCCACUUCUCCAUCUCCACUGCGCACUACUCAAUCUAGAAGAGUAAAUCAGAAGAAAAAAACAACCAAAAUAUACUACCCACCUUAAUUGUUGUCUUGCAAGAUGUUGCAUUCACAUCGAUCUCUUCUUCAUUCAAAGUUCAUCGGAACUGAAAGAUUCAGUCAAAAUUCAUCGGAAAUGAAAGGGUCCCGUGCAACGUCAAACUGUACCAUAGGUAUCAACUUUGUUAAUUUUUUGGUGGUACUACUGUUCAUUUGGCAUGAUAACAUUCCAGCUGAAUAACACUACUGUUGAUCUAUUAUACAACAAAUUAUCUUAAGGUUUGAGGAAUUGCCUUAUGUUGGAUCAAAGUAGCUGAUACAUAUACCUGAGAAAUGCCAAAAAAUUGGUUGGAACUUUUCUCUAAUACUGACCUAUUUUUACUUUUUACCUGCUGCUUUGUUUUGAGGAUUUGUUUGGGAUACAUAAAAUUAUCUGUUUCUAAAGUAGUUUACUGAUAGAUUUUGUCUAAUAAUUAA